RNAcentral lists this ribosomal RNA (253 nucleotides) under uncultured bacterium. RNAcentral's name for it is "partial 16S ribosomal RNA". It matches the Rfam family "Bacterial small subunit ribosomal RNA", at positions 524 to 776 of the family's 1533-position model. The record is from RNAcentral.
UACAGAGGGGGCAAGCGUUGUUCGGAAUUACUGGGCGUAAAGGGCGCGUAGGCGGCCACCUAAGUCAGACGUGAAAUCCCUCGGCUCAACCGGGGAACUGCGUCUGAUACUGGGCGGCUUGAAUUCGGGAGAGGAAUGCGGAAUUCCAGGUGUAGCGGUGAAAUGCGUAGAUAUUCGGAAGAACACCAGUGGCGAAGGCGACUCACUGGACAUGUAUUGACGCUGAGGUACGAAAGCGUGGGGAGCAAACAGG